UGUUAAGAAUUUCAUCCAUUUAUACUGUUAAAAACUAGUGUGGCUAACGGAAUAACCAGAUAAUGACAGGUGGUGUUCCAUGGGUACCUCAUGUUGACAUAUUGAUAAAUUUUUAAGAGUAGAAAUGGAUAAAAAUUUUAACA
Molecule: non-coding RNA, 143 nt
Organism: Gossypium raimondii (Peruvian cotton)
Lineage: Eukaryota; Viridiplantae; Streptophyta; Magnoliopsida; Malvales; Malvaceae
Source: Rfam